GGGACUGCGCGUGCUUACACAUGCAAGUCGUACGAGAAAUCCUUAGCUUGCUAGGGAGAGUAAAGUGGCGCACGGGUGAGUAACGCGUGGGUAAUCUACCCUUGGAUUCAGGAUAACAUUUCGAAAGGGGUGCUAAUACUGGAUAACAUCUUUUUGGUUUAGGCCGGAAGGAUCAAAGAUAGCCUCUACAUGUAAGCUAUUGUUUGAGGAUGAGCCCGCGUACCAUUAGCUAGUUGGUGGGGUAAGAGCCUACCAAGGCGACGAUGGUUAGCUGGUCUGAGAGGAUGAUCAGCCACACUGGAACUGAAACACGGUCCAGACUCCUACGGGAGGCAGCAGUGAGGAAUUUUGCGCAAUGGGGGAAACCCUGACGCAGCAACGCCGCGUGAGUGAAGAAGGCUUUCGGGUCGUAAAGCUCUGUCAAGAGGGAAGAAAGUGGAAGGUGGUAAUACUGCGUUCUAUUGACGGUACCUCUGAAGGAAGCACCGGCUAACUCCGUGCCAGCAGCCGCGGUAAUACGGGGGGUGCAAGCGUUAUUCGGAUUUAUUGGGCGUAAAGAGCGCGUAGGCGGUUUAUCAAGUCAGAUGUGAAAGCCCUGGGCUCAACCUGGGAAGUGCAUUUGAAACUAGUAGACUUGAGUAUGGGAGAGGGGAGUGGAAUUCCUGGUGUAGAGGUGAAAUUCGUAGAUAUCAGGAGGAACACCGGUGGCGAAGGCGACUUCCUGGACCAAUACUGACGCUGAGGCGCGAAGGCGUGGGGAGCAAACAGGAUUAGAUACCCUGGUAGUCCACGCAGUAAACGGUGAUCACUAGGUGUAGCGGGUAUUGACCCCUGCUGUGCCGCAGUUAACGCAUUAAGUGAUCCGCCUGGGGAGUACGAUCGCAAGGUUAAAACUCAAAGGAAUUGACGGGGCCCGCACAAGCGGUGGAGCAUGUGGUUUAAUUCGACGCAACGCGAAGAACCUUACCUGGACUUGACAUCUGAGGAUCCUUAUGAAAGUAGGAGUGCCCUUCGGGAGCUCAGACAGUGCUGCAUGCUGU
Molecule: ribosomal RNA, 1040 nt
Filed under: uncultured bacterium
Lineage: Bacteria
Description: bacterial SSU rRNA
Rfam family: Bacterial small subunit ribosomal RNA
Source: RNAcentral